GGAAGAAGCAAAGUUGUGGGAGCCCUACUUCCUGCGGAGCCCCUCCCCCACCUCCCUGCCAUCCACUUCCUGCUGCUGACCUAGGAUUGCUGGCAAUAAAACCGCAAGAGUGUGCAUGGAGGAGGCCCUUAACAUCCACACUGUCACUUAACUUUUACAACCUCCACAUGAUCGAUAUGACAGAUAUUUAUCCUGUUCUUCUCUCUAACAGAUGUGAGGGAGUCUUGGCCCAAAGAACUUCAGUCACUUGCCCGGGACUCACAGUACUAGUAACAUCCCCUUUGACAAGUGAAGAAACCGAGGCUUGGCAAGGUUAAUCAGCGUGCCCAAGGUCAGCCAGCUCCCUGAAGUCUGACUCUACCAGCCUCAACCGUUACCAGGGCGGCGAUGGUCAGCAGUCACAAUUACCAGGGGCUGCAGGAGAUCGUCAAAAUCUCGCAGAGCCUACGAUGAAGAAGACACAAGAGUUUGAGAGAGAGGAAGUCACUCGCUCCAGGUCAGCCAGCCAGCAAAUUGGGGAGGUCAGCCUUCAGAGCUCUGGCAACAGACCACUGCCAUGUCACAAAUAGCUUCCCAGCUUGCGAGAGUGUCUGGUAAGGGAUGAGUGAAUGGGGGAGACGGCAGGAAACUCAGCAGCCACAAAAGGGAGAGAUGUGCAGCCUGUUCAGGAACGAACACCAGGUGGAACAAAAGCGGGGCAGAACAAGAGCAUGUGCAUCCUCUUACCACCAUGACAUUAAGGCCAUGUCUGCACCCGGACCAAGAUGGGAAGGGAGCACAGAGCUGUGACUUCAGGGAAUAGGAAGGAUGGCAACAGACAUGGGGUUCUCUAUGACUUUCCAUUUUAUCUUCCAUUUUCACAGUAAGUUUUAAAACUCUACGUCUCCAGAUUCAGCAUGAGAAGGAGAAGUUCCUUGAAUCCUCUGGGCACUGGGGACAGCCAGUCCACCCACCCUGGGUAACAAAGGGAUGUGGUCAGUCCUCACGUGAGGAGGGACUGAGUGUCCUCCAUGGACCUGCGACGUCCCGUCUGUGAGGCCCUCGCUACUUUCUGCAAAUUUCUACAUGGAUCAGAGACAGGAGAAGCAGGCACACUGAUGGUUGUCUAGCACCACGUGCCAGUUUUUGGCAGUCGGGACCACCUCGACUUCCUGUCUCCAGGCAGGGUGGGGAGGGAAUGGUCCUUAUGCCCCAGGAGAGCCUCAAGGGCUGUGCACACCCUGCAAUGCAGGCACACCCCCUUCCACCCUCUGAAUGCUCUGCCACAAACAGCCACUGCGAGCGUAAUGAAGCCCCCAAAACAGGGAGCCCUGUGACUCACCACUGCUGCUUCAGGGACAGGGACAACUGCCAGAAUUCUUAGCUCUCUUUUACAGAUGGGGAAAUUGGGACUCAGAGAGGGAUGCGAUCUCUCCAAGCUCACACAGCCAAUCUGUGGCAGGGGAAUGAGAAAGUCUGGUCUGGUCUCCUCUCCCCAUGGCUGGGGCUCUCUCUGCAGUCCCGCCCUAUGCCCAGCCUGCACCCUCACCUGCCCCUGGCUCCUGGACUGGCAACUCAAGUCGUGACACGGACACGCUUUACCGAAUUUGCCUCCACACUUUGAGCGACUCAUUAGUAUAAAAAACACGUUCCUCACCACCCUUGCCAGAAGAUUCUUGACACAACACAGUUGGGGGGUUGGCACGCUCUCUCCGUUGUUAAGUAUUUAUAUAUAGUUAGUAUUGGAAUGGUCCCCGGACACCGAUCCAAGUCUCCCGUUUUCAGAUGGGGGGCACCAGGCUUAGGGUCAGGACCCCCCUGGAACAAUUCAGUAGCACAGCUGAGACAUAAAUCCACAGAGCCUGCCCUGAACUUUCCAGCUGCUCCUUGGCAAAUGGGCCAUGGGGAAAAAAAAUAAAUAAAGGCUGCCACUUACUAAGCAUUUGCUCUGUGCCAGGCACUUUGCAUAAAUCGGUGCUAAAUCUUAUCCUAAUUCUCUCAGGGAGGCAUUUUUAUCCCCAUUUUGCAGAUGAGCAAGCUGAGGCUCAGAGAGGGCAAGCCACCUGCCCAAGGUCACAGAGCCAGGGGCUGGAAAUGGCACACAUUUCUUCCCCCACGCCAGGGUUGGCAAAUGAUAGCCCAUAGGCAAAUUGAG
RNAcentral lists this long non-coding RNA (2134 nucleotides) under Homo sapiens (human). Its description in RNAcentral is "HSALNT0098356". Lineage: Eukaryota; Metazoa; Chordata; Mammalia; Primates; Hominidae. The record is from RNAcentral.